GGCUUUGUAGCUCAGCUGAUACAGCGCCUAUCGCCGUUAGGCACGCUGCUUCUGUCGCUGGUUCGAAUCCAGUCGAAGCUC
Non-coding RNA from Paragonimus heterotremus, 81 nucleotides. The record is from the annotation of a GenBank genome assembly. Lineage: Eukaryota; Metazoa; Platyhelminthes; Trematoda; Plagiorchiida; Troglotrematidae.